RNAcentral lists this ribosomal RNA (758 nucleotides) under uncultured bacterium. RNAcentral describes it as "partial 16S ribosomal RNA". It matches the Rfam family "Bacterial small subunit ribosomal RNA", at positions 8 to 796 of the family's 1533-position model. The record is from RNAcentral.
AGAGUUUGAUCAUGGCUCAGGGUAAACGCUGGCGGCGUGCCUAAAACAUGCAAGUCGAACGCAUUGUCUUCGGACAGUGAGUGGCAGACGGCUGAGUAACGCGUGGGUGACGUACCUAUUGGUGGGGAAUAACUGCCCGAAAGGGUGGCUAAGACCGCAUACGCCUGUUGAUUCAAUUCGAUAGGGAAAUUCGUGAGAAGCCGAUGGAGCGGCCCGCGUCCGAUUAGCCAGUUGGUGGGGUAACGGCCUACCAAAGCGACGAUCGGUAGCUGGUCUUAGAAGAUGAUCAGCCAGACUGGGACUGAGACACGGCCCAGACUCCUACGGGAGGCAGCAGUUAGGAAUUUUGGGCAAUGGGCGCAAGCCUGACCCAGCAACGCCGCGUGGGUGACGAAGGCCUUCGGGUUGUAAAGCCCUUUUCUGGGGGAAGAUGAUGACGGUACCCCAGGAAGAAGCACCGGCUAACUACGUGCCAGCAGCCGCGGUAAUACGUAGGGUGCGAGCGUUGCCCGGAUUUAUUGGGCGUAAAGGGCGCGUAGGCGGCUACGCACGUCCGUUGUGAAAUCGCCCGGCUCAACUGGGCGGGGUCAGCGGAUACGGCGCAGCUGGAGCAAGCUAGGGGGCAAUGGAAUUCCCGGUGUAGUGGUGGAAUGCGUAGAUAUCGGGAGGAACACCAGUGGCGAAGGCGGUUGCCUGGAGCUUUGCUGACGCUGAGGCGCGAAAGCGUGGGGAGCCCGGAUUAGAUACCCNNGUAGUCC